Molecule: ribosomal RNA, 403 nt
Filed under: uncultured bacterium
Lineage: Bacteria
Description: bacterial SSU rRNA
Rfam family: Bacterial small subunit ribosomal RNA
Source: RNAcentral
UAGGGAAUAUUAGUAAUGGGCGAAAGCCUGAACUAGCAACGCCGCGUGUGCGAAGAAGGCCUUCGGGUUGUAAAGCACUUUUUGAGAGGAUGGGGAAGGACGGUACUCUCAGAAUAAGUCUCAGCUAACUACGUGCCAGCAGCCGCGGUAACACGUAGGAGGCGAACGUUAUCCGGAUUUACUGGGCGUAAAGCGCGUGUAGGUGGUUUGGUAAGUAGGGCGUGAAAGUUCCUGGCUCAACUGGGAGAGGCCGUUCUAAACUGCCGAACUAGAGGAUGGUAGAGGGAGGUGGAAUUCCGGGUGUAGCGGUGGAAUGCGCAGAUAUCCGGAGGAACACCAGUGGCGAAAGCGGCCUCCUGGACCAUUCCUGACACUCAGACGCGAAAGCUAGGGUAGCAAACGG